AUAUACGACCGUACCGCAAACCGACACUGGUGCGCGAGAUGAGUAUUCUAAGGCGCUUGAGAGAACUCAGGAGAAGGAACUCGGCAAAUUGACACCGUAACUUCGGAAGAAGGUGUGCCCUAUUAGAGUGUAGUGAACAACGAAGCAUGAAUGGGUUGCAAAAAAUCGGUGGCUGCGACUGUUUAUUAAAAACACAGCACUCUGCAAACACGAAAGUGGACGUAUAGGGUGUGACGCCUGCCCGGUGCUGGAAGAUUAAAUGAUGGGGUGCAAGCUCUUGAUUGAAGUCCCAGUAAACGGCGGCCGUAACUAUAACGGUCCUAAGGUAGCGAAAUUCCUUGUCGGGUAAGUUCCGACCUGCACGAAUGGCGUAACGAUGGCCACACCGUCUCCUCCUGAGACUCAGCGAAGUUGAAAUGUUUGUGAUGAUGCAAUCUCCCCGCGGAAAGACGGAAAGACCCCAUGAACCUUUACUGUAGCUUUGUAUUGGACUUUGAACAGAUCUGUGUAGGAUAGGUGGGAGGCUUUGAAGCAGGGUCGCUAGAUCUUGUGGAGCCAACGUUGAAAUACCACCCUGGUGUGUUUGAGGUUCUAACCUAGGUCCAUUAUCUGGAUCGGGGACAGUGCAUGGUAGGCAGUUUGACUGGGGCGGUCUCCUCCCAAAGCGUAACGGAGGAGUUCGAAGGUACGCUAGUUACGGUCGGACAUCGUGACGAUAGUGCAAUGGCAUAAGCGUGCUUAACUGCGAGACUGACAAGUCGAGCAGAUGCGAAAGCAGGACAUAGUGAUCCGGUGGUUCUGUAUGGAAGGGCCAUCGCUCAACGGAUAAAAGGUACUCUGGGGAUAACAGGCUGAUACCGCCCAAGAGUUCAUAUCGACGGCGGUGUUUGGCACCUCGAUGUCGGCUCAUCUCAUCCUGGGGCUGUAGCCGGUCCCAAGGGUAUGGCUGUUCGCCAUUUAAAGAGGUACGUGAGCUGGGUUUAAAACGUCGUGAGACAGUUUGGUCCCUAUCUUCCGUGGGCGCUGCAGAUUUGAGGAAGCCUGCUCCUAGUACGAGAGGACCGGAGUGGACACACCUCUGGUGUAUCGGUUGUCACGCCAGUGGCAUUGCCGAGUAGCUAAGUGUGGAAGAGAUAACCGCUGAAAGCAUCUAAGCGGGAAACUCGUUUCAAGAUGAGAUCUGCCGGGGCCUUGAGCCCCCUAAAGAGUCGUUCAAGACCAGGACGUUGAUAGGUCAGGUGUGGAAGUG
Molecule: ribosomal RNA, 1249 nt
Filed under: metagenome
Description: bacterial LSU rRNA
Rfam family: Bacterial large subunit ribosomal RNA
Source: RNAcentral